AGCCAGCCCCCAGUCCCCGGGAGCCCCGCGCCCUGCCCCGGCCCGCUGGGGUCGUGCCCGCCCGUACCUGCAGCAUCCGGGGGCGCGGGGCGCCCAGGUAGGUCGCGCUUGCGGGCGGCGCGGAAGCUCGCUCGCGGCGCGACCUGGCCGCCGUCUGAGCAUGCCCAGUGCCGCCCGCGGGCGGCUCCCGCCGGCCGGGCUGGCCGCGACGGGCCCGCGCGCCGGGCGGGGGGCGGGCGCCCGGGCCGCCCUGCGGGGCGCCCCUGCUCCGCCCCGGGCUGGCGCGCUCGGACGCGCCGCCCAGGGCCACCGGGGCUCUCCUGCGGAGCUCUGGGCGGCCCUCAGCCCCCUGGCGCACGCACGCAGGCAUUCGUCCCCUAACCAUUUAUUGGGUACCUACUGUGUGCCGAGCCCUCAGUGAUUUUCUGCCUAGGAAUGUCAAACACGGCGUUCAACAAAUCUUUGAAAUGAGGAACAGUCUUGCCCAGCUGAGGUCCUGCUGACUUCAAGUUCAGUGUUCAUCUCGUUCCACUAGGAAUUUCAGCUCUGGAGCUGUAUAGCCCUGUCUUCUCUGCCGUGUCCCAGCUCGGGUACAGCAGCACGUGGCUCACGCCUCCGAAGUACGUACACUAAGAACCCCGUGUGAGUGAUAAACUAAGAGGAUGGAAAAUUUUACCAAGAGAUAAUCAUGGUCUUGGCCUACCUACUGAAAAAGUCUGCAUGGUAUUUGAUGGUAACAAAUCUAUCUGAUUGGAUGGCAUCUCCUGGGAAGUGAGAACAUAAGAAGGAGGCACCAAGAGGCAUUCAUUUGUUCACCAGAUAUUGAUUAACACCAGCUAAAUGCCCUGCUCUGUUCUAGGUUCUGGGGAUAGAGUGAAGUCUUUUGAUUUUAUGGAGCUUAUACGUGAAGAGACAAAAAAAUGGAGUCACUUUAAGAUGACCUCUGAUCUGAAAAACAAGGACUGUGGUAGACUGUGUAGAUUGCAUUGGCUUCAAUUCUUCCCUCCUCUCUGCAUCCAUGCUCUUUGCCAUGUAACCUUGAAGUUCCUUACAUUAGAAGUAGAUGGACUUCUCCCUGCUGGACUUUGGGCUUGGCCAUGUGACUUGCUUUAGCCAAUGGGAUGUUAGCAGAUGUUAUGCAAUUAGAGGCUUGAAAUAUGUUUGCGUGGUUAAGCUUGUCCUUCUUGUACUUCUGCUUCUGCCAUAAAAAGGCUGCCUCGGGUGGACUGCUGGUCCCAGAAGAAUGAGCAAAAUGGGAAGUAGAACCAAACUGAAGGAAAGGUUUUUGUCUUAAGAUGCUGGGUUUUAGAGGUAGUUUGUUAUAUAGCAUUUUGGAGCAACAGCUCAUUGAUUCUAUCCUCCAUGAGACCUUCUUGAAACCCCUGCUUUGGAAGUGCUAUUCCCGAGGAACUGGCUGCUACUAUAGAGGCCCUCAUACUUCCUUAGUUCUGUACAAGAAACCUUUCCAUGUAAGAAAUAUUUUAACCUAGUCAUUUACAUCAGCACCUAAGAAACCCGAGUAUGUCUUUUCCUUGCAACCUGAAUGAGCCUAAGACACGAUCUCCCCUCCUAUCACAGGUCCUAGAGGGAAGAGAUUACUCUUGUUUGCAAAACUGGCACAGAACCUGGUGUACUGACUGCAUGCUGUACUCCACUACUUGUGGAACCAGAUAAGACUCUGGCCAAAAUUAGUGAAUUUGAUGAAGCAGUCUUCCCUAGAUCCUCUCUUAGAAGAUCUUUUUCUAUGCAAGAGACUAUUGUUAAUUCACUUUAUCUACCCCCACACCCUCCCAUCCGCCCCCUCCCCCCCACUAUUGGUGAAAGGAAGGUACUCUGUCAGGCACUGAGAUAUACAGGCAAAUUAGGCAUGGCUGAUCUUAUGUUUGUAGAGAUUACAGAUUAAUAGAAGAGAUAGGCUGUUCCAAGAUGGCGAGAUAAAAUCUAUCUGGGAAAUGAGGACAAGAUACUGACGGAGUGGAGACUAAUCCAGCUUGGCGGCUCAGAGAAGACUUCAAGGAUAAGAUGAUACUUGAGUUUUGAUUGGCAAGGAGGGAUUGACUAGAUAGAAAAGGGGGAGAAUGUUCUGGGAAGAAGGUGAACAAGUGCAUGAACUUAAAAUCUAUGAUGAGUGUGUAAGGGUGUGUGGGGUGAAGAGGGCAUGAGAAGUGGUGUGAAAUGAGGUAGAAACUCAAGCUUGGCCAGGUGUGAAGAGGAUUGUGUGCUACAGUGAGGAGUCUGGACUAGGUCCUGAGGACACCAGGAAGCACUGAAGAUUUUAAGCAGGGGAGUGAAAUGUUCAGAUUUUGCAUACUUAAAAGAUCUUUCUGGCAUUAAUGGCUUGGGAAGGAGCAAGGACACUUGUUAGGUCAUUGCAGUAAUUGGGGGGGGGGGCAAUUUAGAUGACCUGAAGUGUUGCUAGAAACCUAGAGAAGUGAGGGAAUAGGAGAGUUAGGAACUUUGAGUGGAUAGACCAGGUGCCUGGUGUCUGGUCCCUGGUCCCUGGAGGGAGGAUUGUUGAGACAGCUCCCAAGUUUCUGCUUAAACACAGGUUGGAUGAUGAUAUCACUCAUGGAGAUUGGUGGGGUGAGGGGGUCUAGGGAAGACUGCCUCGUUAAAUUCACUUGGAAGGGAGAGAGGAGGAUAGAAGAUGAGUUCCCUUAGGGUCAUGUGGAUGUGGGUGGGUCUGGGGAGCCUCUAAGUGCAUGUCUCAUAGGCAGCUGAACACCCACACUCAGAAGAAAUAAGUAUUUGAGUGUCACACGUGUGUGAUGGUGGUUGAAACCAUGGGUUUGGUUUGUUAUAUUGCCUGCCCAGAACUGGUGCUUGCAGAGGCACUGAAGAGUCAUCUGCACGUGGUAGAAAUGACUUUUAAAGCCCUAGAAGAAUCUCUACGUGGUAUUUAAGAGGUUUUACUAGGAUAUUCACGUGGGGACCAUCCUUUUUCACCUUUGUGCUGCCAGAACUCUCCAGAGGGCCCACAUGCUUAGUAAUGUUGGAUGAAUGGAUGAGUGAAGUCCCCUGGUCCAUUGGAAGUUGUAGAUGGAGAACCAGCAUCACCAGACCCAUACCCCUGAUUCUGUAGGUUCAAGUUGGGAAUUAAUGACGUUCAGAAUUCUCACAAUUCCAAACCUUCCAGAGAUUCUCAGGUGAUUUCUACAAUCACCUUGAGGAAUUUUCUCAUAAAACAGAUCCUCAGGCCCCAUGUAAAGAUAUUUUGAUUUAGUAGGUCUGAGCUGGAGCCUGGGAAUCUGCUUUCAAAACAAGCUCCUGAAGGGUCUCUGAUGCGGAUGCAAUGUGGGCCACAUUUGGGGAAAAGCCACUUGUGCUGUAUAUUCCCCGUAUCUCCAUCCAGACCUGCUCUUUGUUUUUACUUACUCUAGUCUGUGCCCGAUAAGGCUGCCUUCUGUAGCCCGCACCAGCCAGGCUCCUUUGGUCUCUGGCUUCCACUGGGUUCAGUCAAUGGAAAGGAAGCAAGAGCAGGAGAUGGGUGGGAGAAACGAGGGUGGGCACUUAUUUACCAGGCCCCCUUCCCAGCCGUGGUUUGGCAGUGGCUACAUCCACAGUUCCUGAUGGGUAGCCCUCUCUGCUGGCUAAAGCUUUCCCCAAGUCCUGUAUCAGCUCCUUUCCUUUACCCCUGCAGGCCUGGGGUAGUAACGGCCAUCCAUCACAGCUAGUCUCUGGGUGCUUUGCUAUCUUUAUUUCCCCUAACUCUAUCCAGAUGUCUAAAUAAUUUGUUGAUUACAUGCUCUCCAAUUACCGCCUUGAGUGUGCCCUCUGCUUCCUGCCAAGACAGGAAAACAAAAACAUUGACUGGAAAGGGUCAGGAAUUCUGGUCCCAGUUCAGUUCAGUUUAAUUCAAUUCAGCAAACAUUUACUGAGCGAGGUCCUCUGAGCCAGGCUCUGUGCCAGAAGCUGGGGAUACAGAAAGUGACUUAGACACUGUACCAGCCUGUAGAGGGUUCACAGCCUAACGGGAGGCAGAGCCCCAGAAUACAGGGUGAUGGUGUGGUAGCUCAGGGUAACAUUGGAAGUGCAGGGGAGACAUCUAUGCUAGGACGGGCAGGCAACAAAGGCUUCCCAGAAAAAGGGGACAUGUAGAAUUCGGGUGGGCAGGAAAAGAAUGAGAGAGGACACUUCAGGCAGAGACAGAAUCAUGACAUGAAUGGCUGCCUGGAGGGAGCUUUGUGCCCACUCUGCUGGAAGCUGUGCAAGAGGGUUGCCUCAGAGGCUUGAGAUGUGGGAUGCUCCCCUUGGAACAGGUGCUAGUUAGGGUACCCCUGCCUCCAGGUGUUCUCUGUGGACUGGGGACCUCCUAUUCUUUCCCAACUGCCAUGAGUUGGGCUCCUCUCCUUUUUUUUUUUUUUAAACAAUUUAACUUUUUUUAAUUUUUAUUUUUGAGACAGGGAGAGACAGAGCAUGAACAGGGGAGGGUCAGAGAGAGGGAGACACAGAAUCUGAAACAGGCUCCAGGCUCUGAGCUGUCAGCACAGAGCCUGACGCGGGGCUCGAACUCACAGACCACAAGAUCAUGACCUGAGUCGAAGUCAGCCGCUCAACCGACUGAGCCACCCAGGCGCCCCAUGGGCUCCUCUCCUUCUUAAGCAGGUUACCUCACAGCCUACCCUCAGAGGGUUGUCUAGGAGAAAAGAGGGAGAUUGCACGGAGUAAGGGGUGGGGGGUCAAUGAGGUUAAGUCAAAAGAAAAACUCUGGCUGUUAUAUACAACAGACCUCCCAUUUGGGACUCCUGAUUCCACAAACUAUCUCCAUUGACUUUAAAGGAAGGUGAGUCUGGCAAACUCUUAUUCAGCCUUCAAAAGCCAACCGAGAUUUACUUUCUGCAGGAAGACGUCCUGGAACUCCCUAACCAAUGCUUCUUCUUUGUCUUCAUCCUAGUCUGGUAAUUUGCAUGAUCACCAGUCUGUCUAGCCCACUUGAGUACUAGAUCCUCAGGCCUGUGGCUUUGACCUAUUUGUCUCUUUCU
Long non-coding RNA from Acinonyx jubatus (cheetah), 4982 nucleotides. RefSeq lists it as uncharacterized. Lineage: Eukaryota; Metazoa; Chordata; Mammalia; Carnivora; Felidae. The record is from RefSeq and is a predicted model, not a curated record. The transcript is spliced from 4 exons.